UACGGGGGGGCAGGCGUUGUUCGGAAUUACUGGGCGUAAAGGGCUCGUAGGUGGCCAACUAAGUCAGACGUGAAAUCCCUCGGCUUAACCGGGGAACUGCGUCUGAUACUGGACGGCUUGAGUUUGGGAGAGGGACGCGGAAUUCCAGGUGUAGCGGUGAAAUGCGUAGAUAUCUGGAGGAAUACCGGUGGCGAAGGCGGCAUCCUGGACCGACAUUGACGCUGAUGAGCGAAAGCUAGGGGAGCAAACGGG
This 252-nucleotide ribosomal RNA is filed under the name uncultured bacterium. Its description in RNAcentral is "partial 16S ribosomal RNA". It matches the Rfam family "Bacterial small subunit ribosomal RNA", at positions 524 to 776 of the family's 1533-position model. The record is from RNAcentral.